Molecule: long non-coding RNA, 1418 nt
Organism: Rhipicephalus microplus (southern cattle tick)
Lineage: Eukaryota; Metazoa; Arthropoda; Arachnida; Ixodida; Ixodidae
Source: RefSeq, a predicted model, not a curated record
AAGUGCUGCCGCUGCCAGGACUUGCAAGUGUGAGCCCUUGUUCAACGAGUUUCAUCACCGGCAACUUGUCGGGGAUCACCACAAGGAUCACCUUUGCUGCGAGCUUCAACAGCGGCAUCAAACAAAAUAGCAGUCGGCCUGUUACAUUUUGGAGUUUGCAUCGACUUCAACUGGCACAUCAUGGACGUGCCUCGAUAAACGAUUUAGAAACCUGUGACCACGCCUUUCUUCGUUCACAACGAGCCAUCUUCGGGUUCCUGCCUCUUGCUUGUCUUCUGGGAAAUCUGUCGUGCAGCAAAGCCCAUCGAUGUGGCCUGCCCGUCUGCCUCCACUUCGUAAAGGGACUCCUUCCUGAGUAGCUGCUCGUCACUGUGCUGUGACCGAUGGCGAAUGAAGAGUGGACGACGGACUGUAUCUCACCUUGCCCCCGCGAGACAUGCCAGCAAUCUCCGGAUACCCCCCCCCCCCCCCGGGGGCCCAUGAAAUGCUGUAAAACAUCUUCACGUUGGUGUACGACAAUGUUAUCGUACAGUGCUGUUUCAAGGAAAAUUUCAAGGCUUGCAAUCAUGUCGCAUUUUUAAAUGUUACGCUGUUCGGCCGCCAUACAGAUAAUGAAGUGUUUUUGAUGAAUGUUAUAAUGUGGGACCCAUAUUAAGUUGCACAGGCGUAACGUUUUUCAGUGCAACGUUUUGCCAUGCUUGUACUUCACCACCCUAUGUGAUUGCAGUUAAAUUGGUCACCCUAUUUGGAUGUUUUUCUUAGUCAUGACAGUAACAUAAGUUAACAUUGUGCCAUGUAGUGGCGUAUUGAUGCUCUUCAGCUUUAAACUGCAUGGAAAGCUGGGCAACUUGGCUAAAUGCAUCUAUCAAUCUGUGUAACCUGGAGGCUCCCUUCAUGCGUCAAUGUGUUUGCACGUGGUUGUUGCGCAUCUUACGCUCUUCCAUUUCUCCUAUUCACUAGUGAACUCGGUGCUUCUUUUGCUUCGAUCUUGAGGUUGUGCGGGCACGCUCGGCAGGUUCCCGUUUGUCCAAUGAAGCGAUUCAGUUGAAGCAUUGUCACUUGCGGUUAAUAGACUUUAUUUCUUUAGAAUCUGUUUUUUUUGUAUCCUGGUUAGAGAGCGUCUGCAGCAUUCGUUUAUGGUCUGUUGCUCACACUUGGUCACCUGGUUGUGGUCCGCGAGCUUCACUUCACUAGCUGUUACAUUCUUCAGUUUGUUUCUGCUGCUAUUGACUUUUCAACUCGGCAUUGCGCUUUGCAUGCUUUGGAUUUUGCUUCGCCAUGCCGGUAAACAUGUAAGAGCACCAAUACGCCUAACAGAGCACAAUGCGACUGAAGGGUAUGUGGGGGUGGGCCAUAAUCAUGACAAAACCCUGCCACGGUGGUCUAGUGGCUAAGGUACUCGGCUGCUGACUCGCAGG